This 575-nucleotide ribosomal RNA is filed under the name Gammaproteobacteria bacterium. RNAcentral describes it as "bacterial SSU rRNA". It matches the Rfam family "Bacterial small subunit ribosomal RNA", at positions 1 to 573 of the family's 1533-position model. RNAcentral also lists the same sequence under 1 other name. Lineage: Bacteria; Pseudomonadati; Pseudomonadota; Gammaproteobacteria. The record is from RNAcentral.
UAAACUGAAGAGUUUGAUCAUGGCUCAGAUUGAACGUUGGCGGCACGCUUUAGACAUGCAAGUCGAACGAGAAAGCACUUCGGUGUGAGUACAGUGGCGGACGGGUGAGUAACGCGUAGGAAUCUACCUAGUAGUGGGGGACAACUCGGGGAAACUCGAGCUAAUACCGCAUACGCUCUUAGGAGGAAAGUGGGGGAUCUUCGGACCUCACGCUAUUAGAGGAGCCUGCGUUAGAUUAGCUAGUUGGUGAGGUAAAGGCUCACCAAGGCGACGAUCUAUAGCUGGUCUGAGAGGACGAUCAGCCACACUGGAACUGAGACACGGUCCAGACUUCUACGGAAGGCAGCAGUCAGGAAUAUUGGGCAAUGGGCGAAAGCCUGACCCAGCGAUGCCGCGUGUGUGAAGAAGGCCCUAGGGUUGUAAAGCACUUUCAGUCGUGAAGAAAAGCAAUGGGUUAAUACUCCGUUGUGUUGACGUUAACGACAGAAGAAGUACCGGCUAACUCCGUGCCAGCAGCCGCGGUAAUACGGAGGGUACGAACGUUAAUCGGAAUUACUGGGCGUAAAGCGCGCGUA